This 67-nucleotide transfer RNA is filed under the name Trinomys yonenagae. Its description in RNAcentral is "tRNA-Pro". It matches the Rfam family "tRNA". Rfam says of the family: Transfer RNA (tRNA) molecules are approximately 80 nucleotides in length. Lineage: Eukaryota; Metazoa; Chordata; Mammalia; Rodentia; Echimyidae. The record is from RNAcentral.
CAAGAAAUAGUUUAAGUAGAAUAUCAGUUUUGGGUACUGAUGGUGGGGCUUAAUGCUUCUUUCUUGA